Molecule: non-coding RNA, 1361 nt
Organism: Labrus bergylta (ballan wrasse)
Lineage: Eukaryota; Metazoa; Chordata; Actinopteri; Labriformes; Labridae
Source: RefSeq, a predicted model, not a curated record
UGUCUACCAAGAGGGAGCAGGAUGAAAACACACUUAGAGACACACACAUGCACAUGCCAAUUAAACAGGAGGUCAAUUUGUGGUUGUGCUCGAUGGAUUUGAACUCUUUGGAGCCUAAAAUCAGCAGAGACGUGAUUAUUCAUAACACCACGUUUGUUUUAUCCAUUGAGUUUGGAGUGAAUCAUCUGCAAAGAAUCACACAUCAGGAUCUUUAUAUGCUGCUCCACAAUCUGCUAACAAAGGAGGGAAAGAAGGUCCGUUUUCUGUCUGUAUUACGAGCGAAUUCAAAACAUCAUGAUGCAUUUUGUUGUAACCACGACUUCAUUAGUUACUGUGCAUCAGUCUCAACAUAUUUCUGGGGUCCAGUUGUUUUACAUACUGAUGAGUAUUAGAUGUGUGCAGUGAUUAGAGGGAGGGUUUUUCUACUCAUUACAGGGCUCAACCAAAGAGGUGACCUGACAGCGCCUCCAUUUUCUUAUUUUUUUGUGUUGUUCAAAAAAGGAAUUGAAAGAAAAGGUGCAGUGUCUUUCCUCUUUUCUAAUGUGAAGAUACAAAGGUAAACAUAGCAGUAUUGUUGAUAUUUACAUAUCGUGUGAUGUUUUGUUUCUCUCUCUCUCUCUCUCUCUCUCUCUCUCUCUCUCUCUCUCUUUCUCUCUCUCUCUCUUUCUCUCUGGGAGAUUCUUGUUGACAGAUUGCCCGGUUAUAAUAUAUCCAACUGCUUCAUCAUGACAAGACAAAGAGUUCAUCUUUUCAGUGUUUUGAAAUGUCUACAGCAACUCUUUUCAGGAACAUUUACACUUGUCACUUGUUACAGGAACAAGUGAAUUUGCCAACAUUUGUCAGCCUCAGCAUUUUAUUUUUCUCCUCCUGGUUUUACGAUGACACAGGGUGCUUAACGAUUGAACAUCCUGAUCCCAUCCUUUCUGUGCUUUGAGUGUUCAGACCCAUAGAAUCAAAUAGUAAAGACGACGACGAUGAUGAUAAGGUAAUUAAUGGUAGUGUAAAUAUUUUGUAUUGAAGUGCCAGCUCCUAUAAGACACUGACUCAACACGUGGAAAUGUCAACUGUAUGCAUGGCUAGUAAACAAAAAAAGGACUCUUACUUAUUAUAGGCUGUGGAAACGUGCAAACCAAACACAUACACUGUCUGGACAUCUGGACACUGUCUCAACUGUACAUCUGUGUUUCCACGGGACGGCAGACUUUACCCGUGUGACCAUUUUCAUUGUUGAUUUUAUAUUUUUUUAUGUGACCAUUUACUCUUUAUUCCCUCUCUGAAUGGUGACACUGUUACAUUUGACACCUGAACAAUAAAAGUGCGUUCAACACUCGACUGAGGCUAUCAAGCUUGAGUGAAAUGAA